AAGACCUCUACUGCCACCCCCACUCCACUAACGGGGUAUGUGUACCCCUGGCUGACAACCACUGGUAUAUAGUAUCAUGCAGUCUUACAGUGGAUACAGGCAGCUCACAUUUAAAAAAAUAAAAGAUAACACAACUGGCUCAAAUUAUGCCAACAUCUAAAUAACUAUACUAAAUUUGAUAAAUUCCACAUUACUGUACCAGAAAUUCAGAAUUAAGACUUUUCACUUCUACAAUACCUCAUGUGCUGGGAAGGAGGGAAGGGUUCGGGUCAGGGUCAAGGUGAGGGUCUUGCAUCAAAAUUUCAGUUUCCUCUCUCCAAAAGAAAGGUGUUAACUAAGCCCUAAAGAAACCUGUCAGCUUUCUGUCUGGGGCACACUUGAUGAAAGCUUAUUAGAUUAUUUGUAUUUCAAAGACAACUUGCAAAAGACAGAAAAAUGGGUUUUGUGGCCUUUUUAGCUUCUUUAUGGUACAUAAAGAAGGCCUGACUGAGAGGCUUGGUUAAAAUAUUCUGCUUGUUUUUUUACAUGAGAAAUGCAGACCACAUCUGCCCUGGAGAACUCUAUGAUGGUGGUAGAACUAUUAACAACAUCAAGAGAGACUAAAAGAGCAGACUUCAGUUUGGCUAUUUAAAUUCUUGGUGAUAGAGUAAAGCUGUACCUGCAAUUUCAGUGACAAGCUUUCAAAGAAACAAAAAUAAAUUAUCUUCUUCUGGCUCAGUUUCUUCAUUCCUAACACAAGAUUGUGUUAAUGUGCCAACAACAUUUUAGGAUGAAGAAUGGGGACCUCAAUGUUGGUGCAAUACUUAAGCACAUUGAAGUCACUGAGUACUGAUAGGCAAGUGAGUAGCUGACUGAACUACUGUGCAAGCUCAUUUCAGGAAAAGCUGUAUGAGAAGGGGAUGUUUCAUGAAACCCAGGGAACAGAAGGCUCAGUUGUUCCACUUUGAGGAUUUUUCUUCAUUUACGCUAUCCCCUUGAUGUGCCUAGCACACCUUGAUUGUCCAUUGACACUAAUAAAGGUAGUUAAUCCUGCUUUAGACUAGAUAAACUGUUGGUCUCCUAGCAGAUUGGCAUGCAUGCAACUUGGGGGUACUUUGAGAGAGGCUGGAUAUUUUAAGAAAACACCAUCUUCAAUUUCUUGAAUUGACCUUGGUUUACAAUUUCCUCUACUCAGCUGCAGUUUAUAAAGUCAUAUUUUACAAUCAGCAGCCUUCAAUAGCUGCUAAUGUCCUGAGAAUUGUCCCCUAGGGCAACAUUAGCUGCGACUUUUCUGAACAUAAGAACUAAAAUGAUUAAAGUUUCUAAAUUUCAGGUUUAGUAAUAAUGCUCUUCUAUUUCAAUAGCUCCUUUCAUCCACUAGGAUCCCAAAGUACUUUACAAAUCUGGGUGUGAUCCUGCAGUCCUUACUCAGGAAAAUCUGUUGAAAGGCACCAUACUUAGAAAUCAC
Molecule: long non-coding RNA, 1447 nt
Organism: Gopherus evgoodei (Goodes thornscrub tortoise)
Lineage: Eukaryota; Metazoa; Chordata; Testudines; Testudinidae
Exons: 3
Source: RefSeq, a predicted model, not a curated record